Molecule: long non-coding RNA, 974 nt
Organism: Bactrocera latifrons
Lineage: Eukaryota; Metazoa; Arthropoda; Insecta; Diptera; Tephritidae
Exons: 3
Source: RefSeq, a predicted model, not a curated record
AGAAUAUCAUCAAAUCUCAAUGCAGCUCUGUGCCUUUGUUUACAUUCGCGUUGUUGUGACAAAACCGCUGCGAACAGGUGUAGCAAAAGGACGAAAUAUUUCGAAAUAGUGAAUUAUUGUUUAAUUUAAAAUUAAAUUUAAGUGUUAAUUAGUGAAAUUCGGACAUUUAAGUGUUUUUGAGUCGAUCGUGUGCCGUGAUAAGUGUUUUUCGCGAGUUGGGCAAAUGUUUUGUGCGCACUAUCGUUUUUGCUCGGUUUGUAUGGCGAAAAGUGUCGCGAUCCUUGUAAAAUAAAGCGUAAUAAUGAUAAGUAUAAUAAGUGUGUAGUAAAUAUGUGAAAAAAGUGUGUGUGAGUGUAAAUAAUUUGUGAAAAGUGUUUUAAGUGUAGUGCAUGUUGUGGAAAAUUGGAAAAUUUGCAGUAAAUUGCGUCGUUGCAGUAAACAGUCCUCGAGUGCUCGUGUGAACACGGGCCGCUGGCUCUGCGUUAUGUUCAGAUGCUGCCGUGUUUCGCAAAGUGUCUCGCAGUCGGGCGCUUGCAACAAUAAUAUUAUAUCGGCAAACGGAAAUCCACUUUACAACCCGCUAUGUCCGACAAGAAUUAAUCAAAUCCUUAAUUGAUUUCAACACAGAAUGCGUGAUUUCAAUUUGCAUAGUCAAUCGCGCUCGAAAUGUGUUUGUUUGUGCCGCGUAAGAUCACGCAUCAGCAUAAAAUUCGCUUGCCGUUAACCGUUGCCGGGGCGAUAAAAACAAAAACAAGUGCUAUAAUUUUCACUGCCGUCGUAACAUUUCAAGUUUGACUGCCCGACAUUUCCCAUCGUUCGCGACGCACGCAAGACGCAUCUUUCAUUUCGGGAGCCACAGAGGCCGCCUAAAUGCGCCUGUCACAGACAUUUACUUUUCUGUGUCCGCAUAAACUGUUAUAACACUUGCACUUACCAAUCGCGCCCACACGCAAGAAGAAGCUGCCGUGUGUGGG